Macadamia integrifolia is the source of this 1437-nucleotide long non-coding RNA. RefSeq lists it as uncharacterized. NCBI's taxonomy places the organism in Eukaryota, Viridiplantae, Streptophyta, Magnoliopsida, Proteales, Proteaceae. The transcript has 2 exons. The record is from RefSeq and is a predicted model, not a curated record.
AAAUGUCAACCCCCCGGUCCAAGAACAAAAACUUGAUUUUUGGUUGUAGGGAGAUUUUCAACUUUCGAAUGCUAAGGUUUUUCUCAAUUCUGAAAAUUUUAUAAAUCUUAUCAUAGUAGAACAUUGCUAAAAGCCAAAAAUCCGGUAAAAUAAUCUUUUGUUUUGAUAUCAAUAAAGUUAUUUCCAUUCAGGCGAUUUAACAACAUUCGUAUACUUUAAAAUAAGUUUGACCGGAACAUAACUUUGUUAUAACAACUCAGAUUUAAGUAAUCUUAGACUUAUUGGAAAGUUAGUUUUGUGUUAUACCUAAUACAAAAAGACUUAUUUAAAAAUAAAAUCUUUUGACCAAUAAAACUUAUUAUAGAAGAAGAGCAUUUAUCUAAAUGUCAAUUAAGUCAUGUUGAUUUCUUAUGACUUGAUGUGAGUGUAACUAUGUUGAUUUUUAUGACUUGAUAUUGCUUAACGUUGAUAGGUUUUUUCUGUCAUAGGGUAUAUAUUAUAACAUCCAAAAUAACUUUAGAAAAUAGAGGGAAUAAAAAAUAGGGAAAAUUACAUGAUUACCUAUUUUUGGGUUUUCCUUUACAAAAUUAUCCAACUUAUGUUUCCGAUAACAAAAAUACAUUAUUUUGGGUUUGAAUUUACAAAACUACCCAAAACAGUGUUCAUCCCUCAACUAAGGAGGUUGGUUGACAGCUUUACCCCCCACUUCUCUUCUCCCACCCGCUGCUAUUCGCCUUCUUCUUCUUCUUUCUUCUUUCUACCCCCACUUCGGGGAUGCAAAUAGUUCCCAGCGGCUGCAACCGCCUCAUCGUAAGGCCCCAACCCAACAAUUGCCUCACCGCCCACAUCCCAUUUAGGGAUGCCAAGUUCCCAGUACCAUUGCAUUUCAGAUAUUGGAUUGGUGAUAGGAAUCCAUAAACGGGUUGAUGAAAACCAGAAUACUCUCCUCCACAUCGCUGCCUACUCUGAAAACCUCCAAGUUGUCACGAAAACUACCAACAAUUAUGAUCGGAAGCAAGAACUGUAGAGGAGAUUUGAAAGUACUUGGAGGAAGCUCUGAUGUUGGGUUGUUAUUUUCGUUAAUUUGAAUGCCCCCUAAAAAUUUUCCAGGUUUUGAUCUGCGUGUAAUGGUUUUUGGAGUUUCACCUUUGUGGGUUUGUGUUUUGUGUUCGUUUUUUUUUUGCUCUUCCGCAGUUCCAGAUCUCGAAUUUGUGAAGUUUAGAGUUUAUAGCAAACAAGUCAAUAUGAAAUCAGAGAAGUAGAGGUGCAAAAGAAAUUCUGGUUGUGAUGGUAUCAAUAUUUCCUUUAGCCUUCAUUUUACUCUUUUUAAAGAUUUAAAUCCCGUUGAUGUCUACACUAAGACUUGGUGCUCGUUGAGUUCGAAUCAAAGCAGUACUCUCCCUGUUACUAUUUAAUUCUAUACUUGGGUUCUGAGUU